GAAUGAGACAAACUGUUGGUAGAGAUACUCUGCGUGUGCGUCUGACACUAGAAGGGGCGGGGUAUUGUGGCCAAUUCAGUGAUCUAUGAAAUAACCAUGAUAUUUGUGUUCACUGAUAGCUCACCCAUACAUUAUUUAAAUAUUGAUUAAAAUCAAAUGAUGGAUAUGUUAAUUAGAUUGAUUUACUCAUUCCACAUUGUACACAUAAAAAAAUUUAAUGACUCCCAGUGAAUUCUUUUUGCCGUUGCUAUAUGUGGUGGGUUUGAAUUAUUCCCUGUUGAACACAAUUGUUUAAGGAAUCAGAGUGUCAACUUUUCCAUCUUUUGUCUGUCCCCAUCUGUCCAUGUGAUAUCAAAAGUUACCAGUUCUCCCAAGAGAAAAGGAACCCUGAAGCUCAGAGAAGUUAAAUGACAUCCCCGAGGUCCCAGAACUAAGUGACAAUGACCAUGGAAAAGCAGAGUCAUUUUACCCCAUGGCUCCCAGGCAAGCUGAAUAUCAAAAUCCACAUCAAAGAAUAAUGAUUGUUGAAUGAUGGCGGCAACAUUCAGCUUAUUUCUUCCUUGAGUAUUGCAUUCUUCAUCACAUCAAAGAGAGAGAAGGAAAUGAAGGAUGGGCAAAGAGGUGGCAGGAGUGAGAAAAAGGCAGGAAAGUAAAGCACUGAGUUGCUGAACCUGACUCUGGAAGAUACAAUCAUUUCAGCCAUCUUCCUAAUCAAUACUGUGAGCUGGGACCAAGACGAUUGUACGGAACAUGAAACACAGCCUAGGAAAAGCUGAUGAGACCUAGACACCAUAAUAUAUUUGGUUCAACUCACUUAUUGACUCUGUGUCACAUUUUGGUCAGUUUCAGUAAAAAUAUAGCACUGAGGAAUUGUUUUGUUUUGUUUUUUUCCUUCUUUAUAUCCCCAUGUCUUCUUAGUGAACAGACCUGUCUAGCACUUGUUUCCUUUUGCAAUGUUUGUACAAGGCUUUCUAACCUAGCACCCUAUAGGUAACUUCUUUGUUCUUUUGUUUAUCCUGCAUUUCAUUUCUGGAAAGUUAUGUGAUAGGCCAGAGUAAAACACAAACCUUCCCCCUGAAGAGUUAACUAGGGCUGUAUAUGCACUUACAGACCAACGUGUAAUUCCUUGAUGCUCAGUGCUGAGAAGAGAUUAGGUAAACCUGCAGGAAAAUGAGGUAAGUGCAAAUGAUAAAAUAGGAUUACAUUCCCAGGUAACUUUCCAGGAGGGGAGAAGUUCUCAGUUUGACAGAGGGUGAGAUACCAAGUCUGCAGUGUAUAAAUACUUUUUGUUAAAGGUAGUGUGUGUCCCUAUAGAAAAGGUCACUUUGAGGAGCAUAACUGUGACUGGGGGUGGAGGCAGGCAUCUGUAUGUAGAAGUACAGCACAAGUAGAGGGAGAAAGUGGAUGAGAGAGAGCAGAACCCUCCUAGACCUGAUGCUGACAGAGGUGACUGGUAGGUGCCUCUUGCAAAGAGCCCACAAGAACACAAAUUCACCCCAAAGUUGAUCUUAUCUCUUUUGCUUCCUGGACAGACAGUGCUAACAUGAUUCAUAACUUGGCUUAGAAAUAGCUAUUCAUCUGAUGGUGUCAUGGGCAACAUUGCUUGAUGCCUCCUGCCUGACACUCUUUGUGUGAAAAAUAAGCAAUUGCAUUUCCUUUCUGCAGUUUCUCCCGCUUCUUCUUGGCCCAUGAUAUUUCCCAAAAUAACCUCACUGAUGCAUUGGAAAGAUUUUUUGGAGACAAAUAUGUCUUUAAUGUCCUCUGACUGCCAGAUCUAAAGAUAUGAAUGCUGUUAGGGUCUAUGUCUGGGUGAAGUCACCUAUUUUUCUUACGUCUGAUUCCUGCCCAAUUUCUUUAAUAAAAAAAAUCACAAGCAGUAGACUGGAAUGAAAGGGCAGUGCUAAUACGCAUUGCCAUUGUUAGAGUCUAUCCCAGUGCCUGGUGUGAAGUGAUGACUCAGUAACUGUUUUGCAUGAUAAAUGAAUGAAUUCACUGAUACCUAGUUCUAUGCAUAAAACCUAUUCCUGCUUUCAAGGCACUCAAAGUCUAUUGCAAGGAACAGACAAAUGAGUAGAUGAAAUCAAUACUGUAUAGUAAGUGCUAUGAACAUAUUGUUAGCAAUAUGUGAGGAAGGUAGCAGGAGCUUAUAAAAAUGACAUUUAACUGGACCAGGAGGACGUUGUAUUAGUUUUCUAUGGCUGCUAUAACAAUUUACCACAAACUUAGUGGCUUAAAAGAACACAAAUUUAUUAGCUUAUGGUCCUGUAGGUCAGAGAUCUGACACAGGUCUCAUGGGGCUAAAAUCAGGUGUCAUCAGGGAUGCAUUCUUUUCUGGAGGCUCUAAGGGAAAACUAUUUCCUUUUCUUUUCCAGUUAUUGGAAGUUGCUCACGUUUUUUUUUUGGCUCAUGACUCCCUUCCUCCAUCUUCAAGGCCAACUACCUUGCAUCUCUCUGACACUUCUCUCUUAGUCAAGUCUCCCUCUGGCCACGGACAGGAAAGGUUCUUUCCACCUUUAAGGAUUAAUUUAAUUAGACUAGGACCAGCAUAAUAAUACAGGAUAAUUUUCCAAUCUCACAGUCAUUAACUCAAUCACAUCUGCAACAUUCCUCUUACACAAUAGAGACAUAUAUUCUCAGGUUCUAAGGAUUAGGCCGUGAAUAUCUGAGGUCCUACUAUUCUGCCUAUCAAAGUGGGGAAAGAGGAAAUGAAGAAAAAUCUCCUAAAGGGGAGUGACAAUCGAUUUGAGUGUUAAAGGCUAAGCUGAAAUUCUCAAGGUAAAUAGGGGAAGAGGAAAGAUGUGGGGAAGGGAUUGUUGGCCAGAUGGGAACCUCAGAUUAGAUGGGGGUAAAAUAUAUUGAGGCAAUACAUAGAUUAAAGGCAUACUGAGAGCUAGAAUUGAUUGAUAUUUUCUUGAUAUUUCAAAAAGGUAUAUUGUUAUUUUCUGUUACUUUAAUAAACACCUAAGUAGCUGAGAGUUUUGGUAUUAACUUGUUAAUUCUUCUUUAAUUAGCAGCCCAAUGAGGGAGGCAGGUGAUAUUAUUAAUGAAGAUAGAGUUUGUGGUUUGUUUGGUUUUUACUUUCAAACUAGUGGUCUCUAGCCAGGGCAAUGAUGAAGGUAUGAUCACAAAAGGAUGAAAAAAUAAAAUGAAAGGGCAAUUGGAACUGUAAUGAGAGACAAUAUAUCUUUUCAGUAAAUUGUGGGAAGAAGACAAAUUAAUUAAAAUAAUGAUAGGCUGUGAUCUUGAGCUAUAGUGGCUCAACAUCUCAUAUUAUCUUAAGUGAAAAUUUUAUGUUUCCUCUAGAAAUUUUCUACUUUGAAAUGUUGAGGGCAAAUGCAGAAGUACAAAUAAAUAAUAUAUUUGAAUGUCCAUUUUGUAAUAUAUCUUCUUAUCAUAAAACACAAAAUGAAACAGACUUUGUUCUGUGAAAGCAAUCUCAG
This is a non-coding RNA of Microcebus murinus (gray mouse lemur), 3440 nucleotides long. The record is from RefSeq and is a predicted model, not a curated record. Lineage: Eukaryota; Metazoa; Chordata; Mammalia; Primates; Cheirogaleidae.